Molecule: long non-coding RNA, 577 nt
Filed under: Junco hyemalis (dark-eyed junco)
Lineage: Eukaryota; Metazoa; Chordata; Aves; Passeriformes; Passerellidae
Description: lncRNA (ENSJHYG00000005374.1)
Source: RNAcentral
GAUGGGAUCAAGGGUUCCUUUUAUUCAAAGAAGGAGUUCAACUACAAAAGUGUAUUUUCUGAAUUAGGUAAAUUGCUGAAACUUCUCUCAUGUUUGAAGAAACUGGUAUUUGUUAUCAAUGAGGAAAAUGAGAACAGGUCAUGAUGUUCAAUAUCUCCCUGUCACUGAAAAACAAGCUUCUGGAACUUGGACUAAGAGAUUUUUGUCAUGAAACAAAAAUUACUACUUUGGCUUGCUGGAAAUAAUUCUGGAUCAAGACAAGGAUUUAUGCAGAAUAAAAGCCACAAAAGAAAGGAAGAACCUGCUUGUAUCUUCUCCUCACACACCUGCUAAGAAAGCAAAUCCUGCUUUAGUCAUUGAUGCCACUUUGGGCAUUCUGCUGUAGUUGCACAGGAGUGUCUAGUGGAGCCUUCCACUUAAAUGACUGUUCUACUUUUCCUUUGGAACCAAAGAACCACAGAAAUUAAUGGGAACACACAUUGGAAGCAAGAGGUAUUCCAGACCUACUAACAAAAGCAGCAUAAUGAAAACUGAAGACCUUGAAUAACAAUAAAAUAACCGAGUUGGUAAAAACCCA